AGGACGAACGCUGGCGGCGUGCUUAACGACAUGCAAGUCGAGCGAGGCCCGUCCUUCGGGACGGUGCCCUAGCGGCGAACGGGUGAGUAACACGUGGGCAACCUGCCCCUAGCACUGGGAUAACUCCGGGAAACCGGGGCUAAUACCGGAUAUGACCUUUGAGGGCAUCCUCGAGGGUGUAAAGGAUUCUGGCUAGGGAUGGGCCCGCGGCCUAUCAGCUUGUUGGUGGGGUAAUGGCCUACCAAGGCGACGACGGGUAGCCGGCCUGAGAGGGCGACCGGCCACACUGGGACUGAGACACGGCCCAGACUCCUACGGGAGGCAGCAGUGGGGAAUAUUGCACAAUGGGCGAAAGCCUGAUGCAGCGACGCCGCGUGAGGGAUGACGGCCUUCGGUUGUAAACCUCUUUCAGCAGGACGAAGCGCAAGUGACGGUACCUGCAGAAGAAGCACCGGCCAACGUACGUGCCAGCAGCCGC
Molecule: ribosomal RNA, 478 nt
Filed under: uncultured bacterium
Lineage: Bacteria
Description: SSU rRNA
Rfam family: Bacterial small subunit ribosomal RNA
Source: RNAcentral